GAUUGUGUUAUCACUAAAA
Molecule: small nuclear RNA, 19 nt
Filed under: Arabidopsis thaliana (thale cress)
Lineage: Eukaryota; Viridiplantae; Streptophyta; Magnoliopsida; Brassicales; Brassicaceae
Description: snRNA_00003
Source: RNAcentral